Molecule: ribosomal RNA, 433 nt
Filed under: uncultured bacterium
Lineage: Bacteria
Description: partial 16S ribosomal RNA
Rfam family: Bacterial small subunit ribosomal RNA
Source: RNAcentral
AACGAACGCUGGCGGCAUGCCUAACACAUGCAAGUCGAACGAGACCUUCGGGUCUAGUGGCGCAAGGGUGCGUAACGCGUGGGAACCUGCCCUUAGGUUCGGAAUAACUCCCCGAAAGGGGUGCUAAUACCGGAUAAUGUCUUCGGACCAAAGAUUUAUCGCCUUUGGAUGGGCCCGCGUUGGAUUAGCUAGUUGGUAGGGUAAAAGCCGACCAAGGCGACGAUCCAUAGCUGGUCUGAGAGGAUGAUCAGCCACACUGGGACUGAGACACGGCCCAGACCCCUACGGGAGGCAGCAGUGGGGAAUAUUGGACGAGGGGCGAAAGCCUGAUCAAGCAGUGCCGCGUGAGUGAUGAAGGCCUUAGGGUUGUAAAGCUCUUUUACCCGGGAUGAUAAUGACAGUACCGGGAGAAUAAGCUCCGGCUAACUCCGUG